GACGAACGCUGGCGGCGUGCUUAACACAUGCAAGUCGAACGGAAAGGCCCUGCUUUUGUGGGGUGCUCGAGUGGCGAACGGGUGAGUAACACGUGAGUAACCUGCCCUUGACUUUGGGAUAACUUCAGGAAACUGGGGCUAAUACCGGAUAGGAGCUCCGGCUGCAGGGUGGGGGUUGGAAAGUUUCGGCGGUUGGGGAUGGACUCGCGGCUUAUCAGCUUGUUGGUGGGGUAGUGGCUUACCAAGGCUUUGACGGGUAGCCGGCCUGAGAGGGUGACCGGCCACAUUGGGACUGAGAUACGGCCCAGACUCCUACGGGAGGCAGCAGUGGGGAAUAUUGCACAAUGGGCGGAAGCCUGAUGCAGCAACGCCGCGUGCGGGAUGACGGCCUUCGGGUUGUAAACCGCUUUCGCCUGUGACGAAGCGUGAGUGACGGUAAUGGGUAAAGAAGCACCGGCUAACUACGUG
Molecule: ribosomal RNA, 468 nt
Filed under: uncultured bacterium
Lineage: Bacteria
Description: partial 16S ribosomal RNA
Rfam family: Bacterial small subunit ribosomal RNA
Source: RNAcentral